RNAcentral lists this ribosomal RNA (482 nucleotides) under uncultured bacterium. RNAcentral's name for it is "partial 16S ribosomal RNA". It matches the Rfam family "Bacterial small subunit ribosomal RNA", at positions 30 to 507 of the family's 1533-position model. The record is from RNAcentral.
AUUGAACGCUGGCGGCAGGCUUAACACAUGCAAGUCGAGCGGGGGAAGGUAGCUUGCUACCGGACCUAGCGGCGGACGGGUGAGUAAUGCUUAGGAAUCUGCCUAUUAGUGGGGGACAACAUCUCGAAAGGGAUGCUAAUACCAUACGUCCUACGGGAGAAAGCAGGGGAUCUUCGGACCUUGCGCUAUAGAUGAGCCUAAGUCGGAUUAGCUAGUUGGUGGGGUAAAGGCCUACCAAGGCGACGAUCUGUAGCGGGUCUGAGAGGAUGAUCCGCCACACUGGGACUGAGACACGGCCCAGACUCCUACGGGAGGCAGCAGUGGGGAAUAUUGGACAAUGGGGGGAACCCUGAUCCAGCCAUGCCGCGUGUGUGAAGAAGGCCUUAUGGUUGUAAAGCACUUUAAGCGAGGAGGAGGCUACUUUAGUUAAUACCGAGAGAUAGUGGACGUUACUCGCAGAAUAAGCACCGGCUAACUCUGUG